UAACUACGUGCCAGCAGCCGCGGUAAUACGUAGGGCGCAAGCGUUAUCCGGAAUUAUUGGGCGUAAAGAGCUCGUAGGCGGUUUGUCGCGUCUGCCGUGAAAGUCCGGGGCUCACCUCCGGAUCUGCGGUGGGUACGGGCAGACUAGAGUGAUGUAGGGGAGACUGGAAUUCCUGGUGUAGCGGUGAAAUGCGCAGAUAUCAGGAGGAACCCCGAUGGCGAAGGCAGGUCUCUGGGCAUUAACUGACGCUGAGGAGCGAAAGCAUGGGGAGCGAACAGGAUUAGAUACCCUGGUAGUCCAUGCCGUAAACGUUGGGCACUAGGUGUGGGGGACAUUCUCCCCUUCCGCGCCCUGCUAAGCAUUAAGUGCCCCGCCUGGGGAGUACGGCCGCAAGGCUAAAACUCAAAGGAAUUGACGGGGGCCCGCACAAGCGGCGGAGCAUGCGGAUUAAUUCGAUGCAACGCGAAGAACCUUACCAAGGCUUGACAUGAACCGGUAAGACCUGGAAACAGGUCCCCCACUUGUGGCCGGUUUACAGGUGGUGCAUGGU
RNAcentral lists this ribosomal RNA (550 nucleotides) under Pseudarthrobacter niigatensis. Its description in RNAcentral is "bacterial SSU rRNA". It matches the Rfam family "Bacterial small subunit ribosomal RNA", at positions 498 to 1049 of the family's 1533-position model. The record is from RNAcentral. Lineage: Bacteria; Bacillati; Actinomycetota; Actinomycetes; Micrococcales; Micrococcaceae.